UACGGGGGGGGCAAGCGUUGUUCGGAAUUACUGGGCGUAAAGGGCUCGUAGGCGGCCAACUAAGUCAGACGUGAAAUCCCUCGGCUUAACCGGGGAACUGCGUCUGAUACUGGAUGGCUUGAGUUUGGGAGAGGGAUGUGGAAUUCCAGGUGUAGCGGUGAAAUGCGUAGAUAUCUGGAGGAACACCGGUGGCGAAGGCGGCAUCCUGGACCAACACUGACGCUGAGGAGCGAAAGCCAGGGGAGCAAACGGG
RNAcentral lists this ribosomal RNA (253 nucleotides) under uncultured bacterium. RNAcentral's name for it is "partial 16S ribosomal RNA". It matches the Rfam family "Bacterial small subunit ribosomal RNA", at positions 524 to 776 of the family's 1533-position model. The record is from RNAcentral.